Molecule: ribosomal RNA, 253 nt
Filed under: uncultured bacterium
Lineage: Bacteria
Also listed under: 1 other name
Description: partial 16S ribosomal RNA
Rfam family: Bacterial small subunit ribosomal RNA
Source: RNAcentral
UACGGGGGGGGCAAGCGUUGUUCGGAAUUACUGGGCGUAAAGGGCUCGUAGGCGGCCAACUAAGUCGGAUGUGAAAUCCCCAGGCUCAACCUGGGAACUGCAUCCGAUACUGGAUGGCUUGAAUUCGGGAGAGGGAUGCAGAAUUCCAGGUGUAGCGGUGAAAUGCGUAGAUAUCUGGAGGAAUACCGGUGGCGAAGGCGGGUCUCUGGGCCGAUACUGACGCUGAGGAGCGAAAGCGUGGGGAGCGAACAGG